This is a long non-coding RNA of Myotis myotis, 687 nucleotides long. RefSeq lists it as uncharacterized. The record is from RefSeq and is a predicted model, not a curated record. The transcript is spliced from 2 exons. Lineage: Eukaryota; Metazoa; Chordata; Mammalia; Chiroptera; Vespertilionidae.
GGGUCUCCCAAGUUUCGGGGUGGGGGUGAAUAGCCAGCCAAGCCACAGAUCCUCUGGGAGCAGAUCAGCUCCGGACCUGCCAAAACAGACAGUCCAGUGCCCGGGAAAUUUACAAGGUCCCGCAGCUUGGCGGGCAGCACCAGCCCGACGGCCGCUUUCGCCACCAGAUAGACCAUCUGGAGAGGGAACACCACCAACGCGCCCAGCCAUUUCCACACCAUCCUCCGCGCCGCGGAGCCGGGCAGGGCGGGGGGCGAAACUCCCCGAGCCGGACAAAACAGGAAUCGAAAAAGAAAACACCUCCAAACAAUAAUAAAUACACGGAAUGAGGGGCAGACAGGAGUCCCACCUGGCCACUCUGGAAACCACCUCUUCCCAAGUGCAAGGCACCGGGUGAGAAAAAGAGGGGAAAAAAAAGAAAAAGAAAAGAGAAAUCCUCUUGGGGAGGAGAAAAAGCGUCUCCGAAGGUUGGGACAGUGAGAGGGGUGGAGGGGAAGCCGGAGGUGGGAAGUUCUAACAAGAAGUUUCUUGCCCCGGCCGCCGCUUCGGCUGGGGAAUUCGCAGGUAAUGUUUACAGGCUGACAGAGGAGUUUAGGCAGGGGAAGGGGGGGAAAAGGGCACCAACCACACGCGCGUACCCUGCUGCAGGCCCGCGGUUUCAAAGUGCAAGAUGAAAAAAAAAAAAAA